AAAAAGGCUCUUUUAAGAGCCAUUCCAGACACAACAUAAAGGGCUGU
Molecule: regulatory RNA element, 47 nt
Organism: Buceros rhinoceros silvestris
Lineage: Eukaryota; Metazoa; Chordata; Aves; Bucerotiformes; Bucerotidae
Rfam family: Histone 3' UTR stem-loop
About the family: The mRNAs of metazoan histone genes lack a poly-A tail. 3' end processing occurs at a site between a highly conserved stem-loop (modelled by this family) and a purine rich region around 20 nts downstream (the histone downstream element, or HDE).
Source: Rfam